ACGGCGAGUGAAGCGGCAACAGCUCAAAUUUGAAAUCUGGCGUCUUUGGCGUCCGAGUUGUAAUUUGCAGAGGGCGCUUUGGCAUUGGCAGCGGUCCAAGUUCCUUGGAACAGGACGUCACAGAGGGUGAGAAUCCCGUACGUGGUCGCUAGCCUUUACCGUGUAAAGCCCCUUCGACGAGUCGAGUUGUUUGGGAAUGCAGCUCUAAAUGGGAGGUAAAUUUCUUCUAAAGCUAAAUACUGGCCAGAGACCGAUAGCGCACAAGUAGAGUGAUCGAAAGAUGAAAAGCACUUUGGAAAGAGAGUUAAAAAGCACGUGAAAUUGUUGAAAGGGAAGCGCUUGCAGCCAGACUUGCCUGUAGUUGCUCAUCCGGGUUUUUACCCGGUGCACUCUUCUAUAGGCAGGCCAGCAUCAGUUUGGGCGGUUGGAUAAAGGUCUCUGUCAUGUACCUCUCUUCGGGGAGAACUUAUAGGGGAGACGACAUGCAACCAGCCUGGACUGAGGUCCGCGCAUCUGCUAGGAUGCUGGCGUAAUGGCUGUAAGCGGCCCGU
RNAcentral lists this ribosomal RNA (551 nucleotides) under Paraboeremia putaminum. RNAcentral describes it as "partial large subunit ribosomal RNA". It matches the Rfam family "Eukaryotic large subunit ribosomal RNA", at positions 86 to 652 of the family's 3401-position model. The record is from RNAcentral. Lineage: Eukaryota; Fungi; Ascomycota; Dothideomycetes; Pleosporales; Didymellaceae.